Molecule: non-coding RNA, 12829 nt
Organism: Rattus norvegicus (Norway rat)
Lineage: Eukaryota; Metazoa; Chordata; Mammalia; Rodentia; Muridae
Source: RefSeq, a predicted model, not a curated record
AUGGCUUGUUCCUUGUUUAAUCUAACCUUUCAUUUUCUUUCCUCGGAAAGUAAGCUUAGGUUCCAUGAAGACACAGAGAAAGCAGAGGCGGAUGCCGCAUGCCCCUGCUCUCAAUUCUCAGAAAUUUUAGGUCGUUCGAUGAAAACCAACCCUGCUGGAACGACUGCUCCUGGUUAAGAGCACUGGCUGCUCUUGCAGAGGACCUAGGUUUCCGUUCCGUUCCUACUUGGAACCUACUUGGCAGCGCACAGACACCGGUAACUCCAGAUCUAGGGGAUCCAGCGCCCUCCUCUGGCUUUGAUGGGCACUGCAUGCAGUAAUAUAUAUCGGUGAGCUUUUCCACCCAGCUACUUCGUUCCUAGAAUAACGAUUCUGAGUAUUAAUAAAUGCUUAGACCAUAAGCUUCGGCCUGGUCCCUGACUUGCUUGUUACUUAUAUAACCCAUUUAAACUAGUCUUAAGUUCUGCCACGGAGUUAGUUAGUUACCUCUCCUCCGGUUUAUGUGAUCAUCUUCCCCAUAGUUUCCAGGCAAAUCCCUGUUCCUCUUUCCCAAAAUCAACCAACCAAUCAAUCAGUAAAUCAAUCUCUCUCUAUCUCUCCCUCCUCCCCCCCAACCCGGAUGUCCCACCUUCUAAUCCUGCCUCAGCUCAUUGGCCACAGGCUUUUUGAUUGACAGUAUCUGAGUCUUACAGUAGUGCAUACACAUAGUUGUGGGCAAAACAUUCAUAUGGAUUUUUUUUUUAAAUAAAAAACCUCAGUCCCAACAAAUCCUUGUUCUAGAAGGUAUGGCCCAGAGGUAAGCCUAGAGACAUAUGUAUUAAUCCCAACUGCUAUCCAUAACAGUUAUUGUAUUUUUUUUCUGCUUUAGAGAGCAAGUCCUCAAAUUAGAAGUAGAGACAGCUCCUACAGAGCAAUAAAAUAAAAAUGCACCAUAGAAAGAAAAGUCCAAACAAAGCCGCUGCUCACAGCAAUCCUAUAGAGUAGAUAUAAAAGACUGUAAGCAAUGUCCUUGAAAGAGGGUGACAGACAAGCACACAAGGCCUGUGACGUUUGGGUGAGUUUAAUUCAGUACAGUGGCAGGUGCUGAGGGUUGUGGAGGGUUAUAAAGGCAUGUUUGCUAUGGUUUCUGCACAGAGCGCUCAGUUACCUGACAUCCAUUUUUGUUUUCUCGUGUGUUUAAAUCUCGUUCUUUAAUCGGUUCUGCCAAAAUCCACUCUGUCUUUCAGCUGUAUUAUAAUGAACUGAGAGAAAAUCAGAAUGGGUGGGGAAACUGCAGGGAGCCGAGCAAGACUUACAAAAAGGUAGGCCUAAAAUUAUAGGGCGCUUUGGGGUUGGAGAGAUAGCUCAGCUGUGAGACCCACUGACUUCUGCCCCAGCACCCAGCUCACAACCACUUCUAACUGCAGUUCCAGGGGACCCUGUGGCCUCGCUGGCCUCCACAGGUGCUGCACACAUGUGGUGCGCAAACGUACAUGCAAACUCUGAAACACAGGGUUGGGGAUUUGGCUCAGUGGUAGAGCGCUUGCCUAGCAAGCUCAAGGCCCUAGGUUCGGUCACCAGCUCUGAAAAAAAAGAAAAGAAAAAAAAAUCCUGAAACACAUAAACAUACAUAAAUAUCUUAAAACGCUGUUUUAAGGAAGGGACUUUAUCACAUCCUCUAACAGUAAGGACAUGGGAAAAAAUAUUACAGCUUUUUCCCCCUUCUAAUUUACAAAAGGAUUGCUGUCUUUCAUAACAAAUAUGGCUUAAAGAAUUCAGCACAUGGGCAAUCGCGCAAACCUGUAGACUCCUUGAACCACGUUGACUCUAGUACACGACGUCACUGGCUAGCACAUGGCGUCACUGACUAGCACAUUACGUCACUGCGCAUCGGCCUCCUCCCACAUCGACUCAUCUAUUAUUGCGUGCCUUUCCCUGCUUGGAAAACUUUUUCUUCCUUAGUCUCUUUGGUAGGCCUGCUGUCUCUCAGCCUUCACACCGGGUCUGAAUCCCAUCUCUCUUAGAGGAAGUCUCUGUGCCCAUCCCGGAAACAAGUCACCCAUUCCCAAAUGGGCAUCCGCUCUUUUUUUUUUUUUUUUCUUUUUUUUUUUUUCGGAGCUGGGGACCGAACCCCGGGCCUUGUGGUUGCUAGGCAAGCGCUCUACCACUGAGCCAAAUCCCCAACCCCUGCAUCCGCUCUUAUUGUUUCUCUUUGAGGGAAACUGCUGCCAGCCCUGGUGCCAAGAGCCUGUGACUUUGGCUUGGGCCAACCAGCACAUCCCAUCCCCACGCUCAUUGGUUCAGGGUUGGCAUGUGAUCUGGCAGUCCAAUCAGAGUGGCUCUUAGCAUUCUAGGCCUGAGCAUUAUCUCCUCCAUUUCCCUUUACCCCUCCCCCCAGCUUCCCUCUCCCUACCCCGCACCAUCUUCCUCCUUCUCCUUCCGGUGUCUGUAGUAGAAGUUUUGAGAUAGAAAACCAUUACAUUGACCUUACUGUCAUUUUGCUUGCCUCUGAUCUAGUGGUUCUCAAUCUGUAGAUCAUGACUCUCUCAGGAGUUAAAUGACCCUUUGACAGGGGCCUCCUAAGACUAUUGGGGAAACACAAAUAUUUAUAUUACAAUUAAUAAAAGUAGCAAAAUUACAGUAGCAGUGAAAAUAAUUUAUGGUCGAGGGUCACCUUAGGAAGGCUGAAAAACCAUUGCUCCCAUCCAAGUUUAUCGACCUAGGUUCUACAGACACCUUGGACUGUAGAUAACGCUGUGUUGUGCAUCAAAAAGGCCUUAGUUCAUUCCAGGCCACUACCCGUAGACAAUUUGUCUUCUGCUCACACCACAGCAACCAAACCUGUCCCUAGAUAUUGUCCAGUGUCCUUAAGGCACGUUCGCUCCAGCUGAGACUCCUCCCCUGUCUAGACAGUUCGAUUUAAGCCUGAAUGGUACAAAGCAACAUGGCGUUAGAAUGUACGCAUUGAGAAGAGAUCCUGGUUUGCUUUCUGAACCACAGAGGCUAAGAGACAGGCGACAAGCCAGACAGCUGCAUCCUGCAGAGAUCCCACAGGAGGGAGCUCCCACCAUUCCUGCCUCCUUUGGUCCCAAGGUGUGCCCACUGUUGUGAGGGUGGACAUAGCCAUUCCAGGGCAAUGGUAUUGGACCCCUUUGCUUCUUUACUUAGGAAAUGGUCAUUUGAGUGCCUGCAUGGUUAAUGAAAAUUGAGUAAUGUCUCCCUCGUGAGUCUUGCCUUACUUGCCAUUCUCUUGAAGAGAGAGAAAAUAUGAGGGGAUGUGCUAGCUGCAUGAUAGAUUAGAUUUGCCUGGCCUUUGAUCUAGACAAGGCAAAAUUAACUGGCGUGUGUGUGUGUGUGUGUGUGUGUGUGUGUGUGUGUGUGUGUGUGUGUGUGUCUUUCAUUCUCAAAUCCAGAAAGCCCUUGGGCAGGUGAGCAUAGGCGACCUGUCAGGAGCACAGAGCGGGUUAACCAUUCACACUACAGGGGGAGGCAGGAUCAUUUUUUGCCUUACAUAAUAUUCCGGGUUUCCACCCUGAGGACUAAAUUCACACACCAGAAAUAGAGGCUCUUUUCUUCUGUGCUUUGUUUUGUCAAUGCAUAUGAGAAAAGGGGAGCAGGAAGGAGAGCCUGUGCCCGGAGUCUUUUCUAUUCUGAGCUCUACUGGCAAAUUCAAAAUCCAUGAACCCAGACAGACACUUUAGGGUUACCUGUCCCGACCAGAAAAUACUCUCCAGAGUUUCGGUGUACUUUUUUUUAAUGGGUCAGAUAGAUUGUGGGUUUGGGGUGGGAUAUGCCUGCUAAGUACAGAUGUUUGCAGUCCGGUGCCUUUGUCUCAGUGGUACAUUGAGUUCUUUGAAGCAAGGGUGUGUUCGCUUUCCCAACGGAAUUAAUGAUUCACACAGGAAAGCGAGAAUGGCAGAAUUAAAAGAGGAAGAAAGAAAGAAAGAAAGAAAGAAAGAAAGAAAGAAAGAAAGAAAGAAAGACUAGUAUCGUGCAGCAUGGGAGGGCUUAUUUUUAAAGAGAAAGGCAGACUAACAUUCAUGCAGCAUGGCUAUGCCUGAAGGCUUGAAGCUCCAGUCUCCAUCCUCCUGCAGAUGGACCUGAAGAGCUAGUUGAGGUGAGAGGAGGGCAGCUACUCACACAUCUUGGACCAUAGACGAGUCCUCUGUCUAUUCUCUUUGACCGAGUGUGCAGCUUUGCAAAUGAUGAGGGAGGAAGGGAGAGCACCUAGCCAGCCAGGCAACCCUGAUCAGUGGGUGACAGAUGCCCCUCAAAUCCACGACCUGUCUUUAUCCAGCGAGUCAGAAUGAUUUUUCCCUUAUCUGCGGCCCGUGGAACAAAAUUCUUCCUCCUGGACACUCGGGGGCAGCUCAGUACCUUCGAGAAAGAAGCGUCACACUUUUUUUUUUUUUUUUUUUUGGUUCUUUUUUUCGGAGCUGGGGACCGAACCCAGGGCCUUGCGCUUCCUAGGCAAGUGCUCUACCGCUGAGCUAAAUCCCCAACCCCUAGUGUGAGUUUUAAUACACAGAACAUGAUGCACAGGGCAGCUCUCAGUGCUGGUGGUGUUGAUGGUGAGGUUGUCUCCAAGAAUGAAGAACUGACGAGUGUGACCUGCCUCACUUGCUGUCCCUACAGAGGACCUGGGUUCAUUCGGUUCCUAGCAUCCAGGACUCUGGUAUGUACAGCAGGCACUGUACCAACCAAACUGUCUUCCUGGCUCCACAUUUAUUCUCGAAGAAACACCGUCCUGUGUGUUUGUUGCCGGAAAGGGAAUGAGGGAUGGUGAGGAGGGGACCACGAUGGGAUAGAGGCGUCCAGUCACUGGGGAAGGAAGUGAGCAGAACAGAAGUAGGGGCGGCCUUCAAGGCCUCACCAUGGCAAGUUCCUCCAGUGAGCCUCUCCCUCCCAAAGCCUCUACAACCUUCCCAAACAGCCUGUGGAGAGGCAUUCCGUCUUCAAACCACAACACUGUGGGUCUCCAUGAAAUUGAUCAUAACAAAAUCAACACGGCCGCAUUGUUAUGACUGCCAAUUCUUCUGUAUAGCUUGUAUAACAAACCUGUCUAUUAACCUUCAACUCUCAGUGUGUUUUCCCUUGAACUGUAUUUCUUUUGAGUAGUCAAAACUACUGAGAAUACACAAGCACACUCAACUGUGCAUGCAUGCACGCACAAACACACACACACACACACACAGAAUAAGGAGGUGGGCUUAUGAGAUGGCUCACUGGGUAAAGCACUUGCUGAUCUUAGCUUUGCUCUUUUGGUUUUAUAUAUUUUUACUCUUUUGACUUAAGAGUCUCUCUCUCUGUAGACCAGGCUAGUCUCACACUCACUAUGUAGCCCAGAGGAGCCUUGGACUUGCUGUUUCCCAUCUGCCUCAGCCUUCUGACUUCUAUUCCACCUGGCAAGACCUUGUCCCUUGUCGAUGCCCACACCGACACAGUACCGAGAACCGGGCGAAAGCCUGCGGGAUUAAAACACACACACACACACACACACACACACACACACACACACACACACACCUGGGUUAUUCGUGUUAAGAAAGAAUGCCCAUUCUGUAGCUUUAUUUUCCAAAUAUAUACCCCAGGUUUACCAGGUGGAAAAAUCUAGGAAGCACAGUGGGAAACCCUGGCUCAAGACCAAAGACCGAAUAUAUGUGCCCCCAAUUUUCUGGGGAGAAAUCCGGGAAGACCAGCCUAAAUCUCAAAAACAAAAGACUAGGAAGACAAAAGACGGAUCGAAUUGACCUUCGCCCAGGUGGGGCGGGCCAAACUGCUCCUUUGUUAGGAACAAAAGGCUUCCACAUGCAUCAGCAGGGCUCAGCAGGGGUCAAACCCUGCAAGGGACCCAGAAGGGUCUGACAACGGGGUGAAACACGGCAGGGGACCCAGGAGGCUCUGACAGUCCCUGUGGAAGGAGCACCAUGGUGUUAGUUGCUGUGUUGAACAUGACAACCAAAAGUAACUUGAGGGAGAUCAGGGCAGAAACUCAAGGUGGGGACCAGGGGCAGAGGCCAUGGUGGAACGUUGCUUACUGGCCUGCUCUCUCACUCAGCUAAUUUCCGACAUAUCCCACAAUCAUGUGGCCUAGGAUGGGGCUGUCCACAGUGAGCCGGGACCUUCUACUUCAAUAAAAAAAAAUUAAAAAAAGCAUUAAUAAAGAAAAGGUCCACCUACUUAUCAGGCAGGCUAAUCUGAGAGAGGAAAUUCCUCAGAUGAAACUAUUCCCAGAUGAGUCUAGCUUGUACCAAGUUGAGAAAACAAAACAAAACCCUGACAACCACAAGGGCCUCCAUCCCUAUCCUCAGGAACCAGUUCUUUUCUUUUUUAAGAUUUAUUUAUUUAUUAUCUAUAAGUACACUGUGGCUGCCUCCAGACACCAGAAGAGGGCAUCAGAUCCCAUUACAGAUGGUUGUGAGCCACCAUGUGGGUGCUGGGAAUUGAACUCAGGACCUCUGGGAGAACAGUCAGUGCUCCUAACCACUGAGCCAUCUCUCCAGCCCCUGAAGCAGUUCUUAGAACUGCCCAAAGUUAUGGGCCUGUCCUGCACAUUUGGUGUUACCAUAGCAAUCACUGAAGAUGAUACAUUGAGCUCUGUUGGGAGAAGAGACAACUAGGUGUCCAUCUGGGGAGCUACAACAUCUUUGGUGAAAAUUACUCACUUUCUGGGAAUUUCACUUUGGAAAAUGUGGAUAAGGAACUCCCCUCCCUGAGGUGUUAGAGGGCCGAUUAUAAAGCAAUGUGACCUGAAUACUUGCCAUGCUUGCCAUAAAAAGGGACACAAGAAGUAACAGUUACUGGGUGUAAGUGUCUUGACUCCCAAGCCCUUGUUACCCAAGGAUUAUAAGGGGAAACUUUGAAGCUAUUGGCCUGUCUUCAUGCUGUACAAUACGUUGCCCAAAUAACAAGACUGUUCUCACAUAGUGAAAAUUUUCACAAACUUCAAAGUGGCAGGUCUGGGGAUGGAGAGAUGGCUCAGUGGUUAGAGCACUGGCUGCUCUUGCAGAAGACCCGGGCUUGGUUCUCAGCACCCAUGCAGUGGCUCACAACAGUCUGUAUGUCCUCUGCUGGCCUUUGUGGGCACUGUAUGCACAUGGUGCACAAACAUAGCCUCAGGCACAUGCACAGACACAUUAAAUUCAAUCCUUAAAAAAAAUCUUAUCUGUAGAAAUAUCUUUGCAGAUAAUUACAAAUAUUUUUUGGAAUCUAAAAGUUUCUUUCUACUUUCCACAAGUCUACUAAGAAUGUUUUGCAUAUGUCAGGUCUUUACUGUGUAACAUAGAAAGGAUUAGCUUUACUCUCUGCCUUUGUCUCAGUAGCAUUACACUUAUGGCCCCAUUUUUUCUUUCUUUUCUUUUUUUUAAAGAUUUAUUACAUACAGUGUUCUGCCUGCAUAUAUGCCUUCAUGCCAGAAGAGGGCAUCAGACCUCAUUACAGAUGGUUGUGAGCCACCAUGUGGUUGCUGGGAAUUGAACCCAGGACCUCUGGAAGAACAGUCAGUGCUCUUAACCACUGAGCCAUCUCUGUUGUGUUUUAUAAACAUAGAGAGAGAAGGACUAUGUUUGGUGGAUGUGCAGUCAGGUGUGGGGCAAGAGGUUCCUCUACGGGCCCAUGCCGAGGCAUCCCUUCCCUGAGGGACCAGCCACGUGAUGGUGUCGUGAUGGUGUCGUAUAGAAUAGAGUUUACUCAGGACAUGGGGAGGGGAACUGAGAGGGUGGUAAAGCCAGGGAAAGGCAGAGAGCCAGCAGAGGAGUAGAGUCCAGCCAUGAACGGUGAAGGGGGGCGAGCAGGAGGGAGAGGACAGAGGGAGAGCAAGAAGGCAAGAGACAGGGGCUUGGGGAUUUAGCUCAGUGGUAGAGCGCUUGCCUAGGAAGCGCAAGGCCCUGGGUUUGGUCCCCAGCUCCGAAAAAAAAAAAGAACCCAAAAAAAAAAAAAAAAAAAAAAAAAAGAAGGCAAGAGACAGAGGAGGGGCCAAGCAGCCCCUUUUUAUAGUGACUGGCUGUUGCCAGGUAACUGUGGGGAGGAGCCUAGACAAAAUGCAGACAAUCUCUGCGGCCUUCAUGGCCCCAUUUUCUUUUCUUUCAUUGUCUACCUUCCCCCUACCCCCACAUGCCCCCCAGAACUGAGGACCAAACCCAGGGCCUCAACCACUGAGCUAAAUCCCCAACCCGUGGCCCCAUUUUCAACAUUGUCUUAAAAUGCAUUACGUAUGCGGCCCCGUAAAUGGAUAGCUACAACAUCAUAAACUUUUCCAAAAGACUGUUGUGGUGUCAUACAUGAAUGAGCCAGCCACCCAUCUCUGACCACCCAGCCUGGAAGUUUCCCGCCCCUGGAACUCCUCCCGUGAACCCUCAUUAUGAGGAAGGAAUGCAGAUUUUCAGAGAUAAUUAUCGUCAACCACAAAAAUAGCAGGCCUGCUGAGGUGAGAAAUAGAAACAUGUCUAUGUGACUGGGGUGUGACUUAGUGAUAGAGAGGGCUCGUGUGGCACGGCAUGAGGCUGCAGACUUGCUCUCCUGAACCAAAAAAGACAGCAUGGUAAGACAAUGAAGGAAGCGACACCGAAGCCCACAGCUUGGGGACUAGAGAGAGCUCAAUUUAAUUCGGAAUGUGUCUGAACACAUCCAUCAUUUUCAACUCUAAAGUCUUCCCUCAUCCACUCACCAAACACGUCCACUUCGUACUGAGUACACAUCACUGUCAUUUACUUAGGCUCUUAAAAAAAAAAUCUUACCUUAGUGCUCUAAGGCCUGUAGGCAGGAGAUUGUCUUUGAGUGUUUAAAGGCAUGUAGCAGUUUGGAGGACUUCUCUUGCAUGGGUAGUAAAUCUCUGGGAAAUAAUGGGGAGAUGGAGAGAGAGAGAGAGAGAGAGAGAGAGAGAGAGAGAGAGAGAGAGAGAGAGAGAGAGAGAGAGAGAGAGAGAACUUUAAACCUGUCCAGAAAAAAAAAUACACAGUGAAGAUAUCUAUCAACUUUUAAUUGCUUUUGUUUGUUUGUUUGUUUGUUUGUUUCUAAUUAGUUCCUCCUUAGGGUAAUCCGGAAGAAGUUGGUCCCGGUGUUGGUGUCGCACUGUUUUUUUUUCCGGAGCUGGGGCGGAACCCAGGGCCUUGCGGUUGCUAGGCAAGCGCUCUACCACUGAGCCAAAUCCCCAACCCUGGUCCCGGUGUUGGGAGAAGGGGCUGGUGUCUGUAGCUGGCUAGCCCAACCUUGUUGUCAUGCCAACCUGGUGGUUUUUGUCCAACUGUUUCUGCAGAAGGGUGAUCCACCGACCCCUACUUCAAGCCACUGGUCAUACCUCUGACCCUCAUCCAAGGACCACAACAAAGCAAGACGAAGGAUGAGCUUUGCUCUUGAUGAGGGCCCCAACCACAAACGCUGCCUGACCUGCAGAAUAAAUUCAUGUCAAAGCACUUCUGAGUGAAGAAUAAACUCGACUCUGUUUGAACUAGAGCACAGGAGGGUAAAUAAAUCCUGGAAAUGAGCAUCCUAUGCAGAGAGUCGGAAUCCUGGAGACGUGAAUUUAUUUUCUUUGCCACUCAGGGGAGCCAGAGACUCAUGAACAUCACACACUAACUGCCAAAGAGGCAGAGAAACAGUGUUUCUUUUUGGACUUAGUCACUAGUGACAAAAACCCCAGCAAACAAAGAAACGGAAAGAAGCAAAAUGCAACAAUAAGAACCACAGCAAAACACAGUAGCAAUAGGAAAGGAAAGGCAUUAAUUCUUAUGCCCAGAGGGGUUGGAGGGAACUCAUGGUUUAGCUGCAGCCUUGUCUACAAGGGAGUGUGGGGGUGUGGGGGUGCGGGUGUGUGUGUGUGUGUGUGUGUGUGUGUGUGUGUGUGUGUGACGUUGUGUUCAGGGCUUACUCAGUCUCUCUGUGUGUCCAUUUCUUGGCUGAGGAAUACUCUGCGGAUUUCAUUCCCAGGAGCUCCAGAGUAACUUUUUUUUGGGUUUUUUUUUUUUUUUUUUUUUUUUGGAGCUGGGGACCGAACCCAGGGCCUUGUGCUUCCUAGGUAAGCGCUCUACCACUGAGCUAAAUCCCCAGCCCCCAGAGUAACUAUUUUUACAGCCUUGAAGACAGGAGCCAGCAUGUGUCACCUGCCUCCCCUCAUGUCACUGGGACACCUGGCCCAUGCAAGUGUAGGAGUGUUAACCCCCAAUGGACCUCAGAACCUCUGCCAAAUGGUUUGGAGUGCUGCCACAGACAUUUAAAAGAAAGAAAGAAAGAAAGAAAGAAGGAAAGAAAGAAAGAGAGGAAGAAAGAAAGAGAGAAAGAAAGAAGAAAAAGUAAAUUUCAGGGUUGCUGACUAUGGGGAAGACGAUAGCAUCUCAGUCCACUGUUGGGUACCAAGCCUGUGUUUUCAGAUAACCUCUCAAGAGCCCUCAUAGAUACCUUCCAUCGAGAAGGCUAAGUUGAUUCCCUGACAGGCUUCAAAUUAGCUGUUAAGGAGUCUGCGUUUACAAACCCAGGCUUCAGGCAGCUCAUCAGAAACUGUCUCACCACCUGGCCUGAAACAAGGACAAUGGGUCAGCAGUUUCCAUCCAGGCACCUGGACCCAGUAAUGGAACAUACUUAGAGACAGAGUAAGACCAAACUCACCUACCCCAGGAUUCCUCUGCAAGUUUCCAGCCACCACGCCCUGGUAAAGGUUCUGGAAUGCUUAGAGACAGUGUAAGAGGAAGCCCAUCUACCCUGGAAUUCCCCUAAGGUGCUUUAAAUUGGGCCUGGGAGCUCACUUCAUGGUCUCUCUAUCUUGGUAAUGGGAGACCCCAGUAUACUGCACUUCUGCAGAAUAGAACCCUCUCUGUGUUUACAUACUAUUUGAGUCUGGUAUCGUUCUUUGGAAAAUCAUGGACCCUUACACCAUGAUCACUCCCAGUUUACAAAUAAGGGGGAAGGGGUUGGGGAUUUAGCUCAGUGGUAGAGCACUUGCCUAGCAAGUGCAAGGCCCUGGGUUCGAUCCUCAGCUCUGGGGGGAAAAUAAAUGAGAGGGAAGCCCUUCUGGACUCAAGAGUUUCGAUGAGGAAUGCGUGUAAGGAAUGGAGUUAAGUUCGAGUUCUGAAGCCCUUGCUGGAACCAAUGGGGAGGGACAGAAUGGAUGAGGACCUGGGACAGGCAGGUGUGGGAUAUGGGAGUCCGUGCCUUGGAGGAAUGGUUACACUUUACGCCACUGGUUCUGGAUGGGUAAAUUUGAGAGAAUGUGACGUUUAGGUUCCAUUUAUGGCAGAGGCUCGAGACUGAUACUCAGCAUCUUGUGGAGCUAAGAUAGGACAAAUCUUCAUGUCUGGGUGGGGUCUCACAAAGAAUAAACAGUUUUUCACCCUGGAGACGGGCCUGUUUUGGAGGCUGCUUUCACUAGAUAAGUCCAGUCCUGGGAGGCUCAUAAUCCAUUGGGGGCUUUAGUCUUGUUACUUGGUCUCCCUGUUAAUGAGACCAAACUGCUAAUCCUUUUUGGGGAUUGCAGAGUCCCAAAUGGGGACAGAGUCCUAACACAGAUGGCUGAGCAGGAAGCAGGAACGGACAAGCCGGACCAGGAGGGAGAAAGGUGCUCACUGUUCUUAAGCCUUUGAUUUUAAGCUGCGAGCCAAAGGGCUCCAGAAAACGAGCUGGCUUACAGAUUCAGAGAUUCAGUCCAUAAUCAUCAAGGCAAGAACAUGGCAGCAUCCAGGCAGGCAUGGUGCAGGAGGAGCUGAGAGUCCUACAUCUUCAUCUGGUGGCUGCUAACAGAAUACUGGUUUCUAAGCAGGAUUUCUUUAUUGUGCACACAGUGCUCUGCCUGCAUGUGUGGCUCCACACCAGAAGAGGGCACCAGAUCGCAUUAUAGAUGGUUGUGGGCCCCCAUGUGGUUGCUGGGAACUGAGCUCAGAAUCUCUGAAUGACCCGCACUCCUCCAUGGCCUCUGUGUCAGCUCCUGCCUCUAGGUUGCCGGACUUCCCUCAGCGGUGGACUAUGGUGUGGAAGUGUAAACUGAAUAAACCCCGUUCCUUCCCAAUUUGCUUUUGGCCAUGGUGUUCCAUCAGAGCUAAAGAAACCCUGACCAAGGACACACAGGGACCAUUUAAAAUACAAAAACUCCAAGGCGGUUGGGGGAGAUGGAGAAAGCCUGAGUACCCUCUUCCAGGAGAUGGAUGAGAAGUUAUUUCUCAGCCGGUAAAAUGAGCCAAUUCGAGUCAAAUUAGAUUAUAUUAAACACAAGUUUAUUGGGAAACUGCUCUUGGGCGAAUUAACUGGCCCCAGGGAAGGAGGUCAGGGAAGUCGCCACGGGAAGGGAAAGAGAGAGAAGAGGGGGAAGACAGAGAGGAAGAGAGGAGACCAAAACGUCUGGAUAAUAUGGGGAGGAGCCUCUGGGGGAAAGGCAGCCCAGGCUGGAAAGUUCAGAGUUGGGGGCAGGUAUACAAGGUAGGAACUGAGGGACGCUGGGAGAACCUGGAGGCCAGGCCUGCCCUGGUAUGUAAGAUAUGUACCUCAGUCCUUUGUCCUGGGUCUGAAGCCAAGUGGACAAGGGUGUGUCCUUGUGGCGACUUGAAGUGGUUCUCAACCUGUGGGUCAGUCACGACCCCCUUGGGGCAUUCACAUACCAAAUAUCCUGCAUAUUCGAUAUUUACGUUACAACUCAAAACGGUAGCAAAAUUACAGUUAUGAAGUAGCAAGAAGAAUAAUUUUAUAGUUAAGGGGUCACUGUUAGCUUCUCUUCUAGACUCCGCCCAACAGUAACCUAGCAACAGCGAGGUAAAGCCUGGCUUGCUAUAAAAGGACUGUUUUGGCCUCUCUGGCUCUCUCCCUCUCCCUCUCCCUCUCUCUCCCUGUCCUUCUCCGUCCUCUUUCUUUCUCUGCUUCCACUCCCUUCUCA